GGGGUUGUGGCUCAGUGGUAGAGCGCCCCUCUAGCACAGGCGAGGUGCUGGGUUCAAGCCUCAGCACCA
Molecule: transfer RNA, 69 nt
Filed under: Marmota marmota marmota (Alpine marmot)
Lineage: Eukaryota; Metazoa; Chordata; Mammalia; Rodentia; Sciuridae
Also listed under: 3 other names
Rfam family: tRNA
About the family: Transfer RNA (tRNA) molecules are approximately 80 nucleotides in length.
Source: Rfam by way of RNAcentral